CGGCAACAGCUCAAAUUUGAAAUCUGGCUUCCUUGGGAGUCCGAGUUGUAAUUUGCAGAGGGCGCUUUGGCGUUGAUGGCGGUCUAAGUUUCUUGGAACAGGACAUCACAGAGGGUGAGAAUCCCGUAUGUGGUCGCCGGUCUUCGCCGUGUAAAGCCCCUUCGAC
This 166-nucleotide ribosomal RNA is filed under the name Dictyosporium sp. RNAcentral describes it as "partial large subunit ribosomal RNA". It matches the Rfam family "Eukaryotic large subunit ribosomal RNA", at positions 99 to 261 of the family's 3401-position model. Lineage: Eukaryota; Fungi; Ascomycota; Dothideomycetes; Pleosporales; Dictyosporiaceae. The record is from RNAcentral.